AGCCGCGGUAAUACCCGCGCCCCUAGUGGUGGUCGAUAUUAUUGAGCCUAAAACGUCCGUAGCCGGUCUUUUAAAUCUUUGGGCAAAUCGGGCAGCUUAACUGUCCGACUUCCGAGGAGACUGGAAGACUUGGGACCGGGAGAGGUCAGAGGUACUUCUGGGGUAGGGGUAAAAUCCUGUAAUCCUGGAAGGACCACCGGUGGCGAAGGCGUCUGACUAGAACGGAUCCGACGGUGAGGGACGAAGCCCUGGGGCGCAAACGGGAUUAGAUACCCCGGUAGUCCAGGGUGUAAACGCUGCGGGCUUGGUGUUGGGGGUCCUUCGUGGGCGCCCAGUGCCGGAGAGAAGUUGUUAAGCCUGCUGCUUGGGGAGUAUGUCCGCAAGGAUGAAACUUAAAGGAAUUGGCGGGGGAGCACCGCAACGGGAGGAGCGUGCGGUUCAAUUGGAUUCAACGCCGAAAAACUCACCAGGAGCGACGGAUAUAUGAAGGUCAAGCUGAUGACUUUACCUGAUUUUCC
Molecule: ribosomal RNA, 518 nt
Filed under: uncultured archaeon
Lineage: Archaea
Description: bacterial SSU rRNA
Rfam family: Archaeal small subunit ribosomal RNA
Source: RNAcentral